This is a long non-coding RNA of Cyanistes caeruleus (blue tit), 4226 nucleotides long. RefSeq lists it as uncharacterized. Lineage: Eukaryota; Metazoa; Chordata; Aves; Passeriformes; Paridae. The record is from RefSeq and is a predicted model, not a curated record.
UCUGCCAGGCUGACAAAGCAGAAGUUAUGCAAAACAACAACAUUGUGCUUGCUCAAAAGUUGAGGUAGAGGAACAGCCACCUAGAAAGAACACCAGACUUUGAAGACAGACCCCAAAGAACCAAAGCUUUGUGCUGAGCAGUGCUUCAGUUGCCCAGGAGUUCCCAUAACUCUCCAGAAGGCUACUGCAGGAAAAACCAGCAGCAGACACAGACUCCUGCUUCCUGACAUCCUCAUAUAAGUGAGCAGUGGCUGAAAUGAGCUUUUUUUCCUCCCGGUUUGAGAUUAGGAAACCAGCUCACCAUGGACAGAGAGCAAAACCACAGCACAUCACAGGAGAAGAAAGGGCUCCCUGACAGCACAGCUCCAGAGAUCCUCACACAGGCAAGGUGCAGUGACACCACCCUGUGUCUGUGUCAAGGGUUUUGCCGCAUAGUUCCUUCCAUGAGCGAGCACAGACUUUGCUGAUCAGAGAGCCUUCAGUAUUCCAGCAUAAAUUCAAAUGUGUACAUGUGGCUGUGAAGAGAAAUGCGUGCUCACAGAGCCUCCAUUCAACCCUGUGCUGCAUUAAGUUUUCCAAGAUGUGCAUUGCCCAGCUCCAGCAUCUCAGCAUCUGGAGCUCUCCCUAUUUAUGUGACUGGAGAACUCCUGAUGUGAGAAUGCAGCCCAGGCACAAAGAAAUGCAGUCCAGCCCCAGGACUGAGUGGUCAAUGCUGUAAGGACAGCUUGUGAAAGAGUCUUCAGGGGACAGAGUUUCAAAGGUGGAACUUGGCAUGAAGAAGCAGGGAAAAAGAUCCAAGAGUAGAAACAAGUAACAAAAAAAUUUAAAAUGCCAGCUGUGGGAAACUGAGACACAGGAAUCAGAAAUGAAAUACAAUCAAAAGUGUAUGGUUGAGAGAUCCCAAAAAGAGGUGGAGAAGCUUUACCAGCUUGUUUGUGCAAAAGUUGGAAAAAAUGUCACAUUCUAUUUGUUGUGUAUUUUGGAUGGUUGAAAAGCUCCUUGAAGUCUUCCAGCAUUUCACAGGAAAAGAUUCUGGGAUUUUUCCUGGGGGUGUCAGAAGGGGGAGGGUUCCUUUUUCAUUUAGCAUUUUUAGUAUUCAAAUUAGAAGACUUUCAGCAUCCCAGGGUGAAACUCAAAAGCCUUUCCCUAGGAAGCCUGGGAGCAUAUCAAAAAUCAAUGGCAUGGAGGAUGGAAAAAGUUUCAAAAAUGUGAGACUGGCAGGAAAUACUGGCACAUUUCUGUUUGAUAUUUACUUUCUUGGCAUGCAGUAGCUCUUUUAGCGCCAAUGGAAAAUCCUUUAGUGCCAAGCCACUCUCAGAUAAAUCUGCACACAAAUGUACUUUGAAUUGGCAUGUAGCUUUUGAGAUUAAGGUUUAACCCUUGCCAAAAUACGCAUUUUUGGAUUCUAGCAUCUCUCUUAAGUUAAUUAGAUAACUUAAUAAUACUAAAAUGCUACACAUGACUGAUUUGAAUUUGAUGCAUUUGAGCUGAGCAAAACCAAAUGAAUGGGGAAGAGUGGAGACACCUGUCAUGGAAGAACAGCCAACCAAGGCUCUGAAUUUUGUAGAGACACCAAGGAAAUUGCAGCCAAAAAAAUACACAGCCUAAACCUAAUCCCUGGGGAUGACUGAAUGCCAUUACAAGAGCAGAGGUGAUUUUCAUGUGAGUGGGGAAUGUGGAGAGGUUGAGGAAACACAAGCAGAUCUUACAUCUAGUCCUGCUAAGGAAUUUUAAAGCCCCUUAGCCAUUCUUAUUAAAUCCAUGCUUGCACUAUAACCUACUCAAAAACAUAGACUUUCAAGUUCAACCUUCAACUGUAUAGUCCUGAAAGAAAAAACUAAAACCUUACAUUAUUCCAGAUCUCAUGGUUUUCAGCUUAGCCUAUUGACUGUCCUGUCCCCAGGCUGGUCAAUGACCAGGUGGAGGUUUACUGCUGUCUCUUUUGCUAAUAAAGCACUUUUGUGGGAAUAUCUUGGAUCAGUAGUGCUUCCUGCAGCAGUCUGGGAGCAAGUACUGGACUCCCAGGUCAUGCAGGGAUUGAACAUUACUGCAUUUCAAUAUAAUAAAGUCCAUGUGGCAUUAUGGACACAAGCAGGGUGUGCACAUCACUGGAAGCAGUGCCACGAAUCAGGGGUGUGGUGAGAAUCAGGAGCCAAAGCCAGGCAGCACAAAGAAACAUCUACAGACCAAGAAAAUUGUGGAUAUCAAUCAAAGCCUGGAUUUUUUGCCCAUUUCCCAGUUAUUUCUCCAUUUUCAUCCGUCAACAUAUGAAGAAUAUUUCUCAGGAAGGGAAGGUUCCUUGCACCCUCUCUUUCCUUGCAACUUUGCAAAACAACACUUCUGACAGAGUGCAUCUCUGCUGUCAGUGGUACAAUGAGAACCCAUUGGUACCUCUGGGAAACUGGAGAAUACCACUGGAUCAGCUGGAACUCUUGAAAUUACACUUUUUCCUGACAGUAUGUGAAGACAAUAUAAUUAAUUGCAAAGAAAUGAAAGGUAUGAGAACAGAGAUCAACUCAAGAAAUUCUGCUGGUGUUGUUUUUAUAUAGAGUUUAAUUAAGCUGUUUUUAAAAGGCUAGGACACAUGAAAUCAGCAUGAAUCUGAAUUAGCUGUAUUCCAUAAUCCCAUUAUUAUAUCUUGUCAGAAAGAAAUUACUUGAAAUAUAGCUUGCUCUAAAACAGUCCCUUUUUGGCAGCAGUAGAACAAAAAUCUGAAAGUUCAGCCACAUCAGCUACAACAAAUCCUAGUGCUGUUAAAAACUUCAGGUAUGCAAAGUCUUCCAGUGUAAUGCAAUAGAGUAAUAUUAACUUUAACAAAAUACAAUGGACAUUCUAUUCAAUAAGUUGUGACAUACCUUGUUUAUGUCAUUUAUCUCCUCUAAUGUUGCUUCUUUGGCUUCAAACCAGUAAAGUCAGAGAAGCCUAGUACAGAGUCUCUAGACCAGUAUUUCUAGGCCUAAGCAACACAUCAACAAUGUCAGACUCCAGAUUAUUCUGACUGUCCCACUGCAAAAUUACUUGAAAUCGUAGAUUUAUGAAAAGAGGAACAUCAGCUGUCAUCCCAGCUUUCCAGCAUUUGGCAAACUUGCUUCUACCCUGUCAAUAAAAGUAGGUGUUAUUAAUAGAGCAGGAACUCAAAGGAAUUGCUUAAAGCCUGUUUCUUAGAUACACAAUUUAUGGUAUUCAGACAAAUUCACCAAAAAUGUGUCAGGGUAAAAAGGUUGUUUCAUAUAUAUUCUGAUCAAAGAGCUCAUUAUUUAAAUACUGUCAGGUUGUCUUUCAUCUUCAGAACUGGCAAGCAUAGGAAAACAUAUUGCAAAUAAAAGCAGCCUUCCAAAAUGUCAUACUGAUUAUGCAUUCACAAGUCAGCUACUUGAAGCUCGGCGAGACAACAAAUAUCACAGGAGCCCACUAUGUGUUUUAGCUAUUGUGGUUUGAGAGGCUGGACAACAGCCUUUUCUACAUAUAUUGCCAGAAGAGCCAUGUCACAAUGUGUAUAGCCAGUGACACAUUUCCUAACCUACACAUUUAAGUUUAUUUAUUUUGGUGGUUGAUAGAAUAUGGUAGAGACAGGCAUUAAGUUCCUAGCAUUUUAUCAUACCACCUAUUUCACAGGACAUAUGUUGACAUGUUCUGUAAUUUGGUUAACUAUUUUUUCCCCACUAUUUCCCCACACUAUGACAGCAACUACAAUAUAUGACAAUUUGGCUCUAGGAACCUAGGAAAACUGCUGUAAUAGAUGGUUAGACACUUGUUGUGUGUGCAGGAUCUUCUUCAAAGUUAUGAGAUGUUCCCCAGUGUGUACCUUUCCAACAUUAAUGAGGUGCUGAGAAACAAAAAGAAUGAGUGUUAAAUUGUGACUGUUAAUGGGCAAUGAUUUACUUCCACCGACUUUAACAGUUUUUCUCUCUCAGAAAAAAAUCUUUAGUGUAUAUUUUCAUUAGUAUGUUAUCCUCAGAAGAACAGGGAAAUUGAGACUAUCUAAUGUCUCUUGAAGGAAUGCUUUUAACUGCUGAGAAUUGAGGGGAAAAGCCAUGGAAGUAAUUUGCUACUGAAUUUCUUCAUAAUUACAGGGUUACGACACAUGCAAAAACAAUGAGUCUCCUUUUGAAAUUUUACGUGGGUGAAAGGUGAAGACCAAGCUGAAUUGGGUCACUUGUUUACUCUGACAGUGAUGACAAGCUUGAAUAUAUAAUAAUCAAGAGAAGCCAAGAGCCACAUUGACA